RNAcentral lists this ribosomal RNA (497 nucleotides) under uncultured bacterium. RNAcentral's name for it is "partial 16S ribosomal RNA". It matches the Rfam family "Bacterial small subunit ribosomal RNA", at positions 28 to 507 of the family's 1533-position model. The record is from RNAcentral.
GAUGAACGCUGGCGGCGUGCCUAAUACAUGCAAGUCGAGCGAACAGAUGAGGAGCUUGCUCCUCUGACGUUAGCGGCGGACGGGUGAGUAACACGUGGAUAACCUACCUAUAAGACUGGGAUAACUUCGGGAAACCGGAGCUAAUACCGGAUAAUAUAUUGAACCGCAUGGUUCAAUAGUGAAAGACGGUUUUGCUGUCACUUAUAGAUGGAUCCGCGCCGCAUUAGCUAGGUGGUAAGGUAACGGCUUACCAAGGCAACGAUGCGUAGCCGACCUGAGAGGGUGAUCGGCCACACUGGAACUGAGACACGGUCCAGACUCCUACGGGAGGCAGCAGUAGGGAAUCUUCCGCAAUGGGCGAAAGCCUGACGGAGCAACGCCGCGUGAGUGAUGAAGGUCUUCGGAUCGUAAAACUCUGUUAUUAGGGAAGAACAAAUGUGUAAGUAACUAUGCACGUCUUGACGGUACCUAAUCAGAAAGCCACGGCUAACUACGUG